This 23-nucleotide microRNA is filed under the name Scyliorhinus torazame (cloudy catshark). RNAcentral's name for it is "Sto-Mir-194-P4_5p (mature (guide))". Lineage: Eukaryota; Metazoa; Chordata; Chondrichthyes; Carcharhiniformes; Scyliorhinidae. The record is from RNAcentral.
UGUAACAGCAACUCCAUGUGGUG